Molecule: long non-coding RNA, 731 nt
Organism: Mercurialis annua (annual mercury)
Lineage: Eukaryota; Viridiplantae; Streptophyta; Magnoliopsida; Malpighiales; Euphorbiaceae
Exons: 2
Source: RefSeq, a predicted model, not a curated record
GACAUAAUUCCAAAUUUUUCUUCAUUACUUGGUUGGCUUUUUUGUAUAGAUUACAGGUCUUAUUGGUGAUUUCCAUUUUGUUUUCUUUGAUCACGACUUGCUAAAAGUAAAGGAACUAGCUUUUGAACAGCCUACUCAUGCUUUUGGUCUAUCUUGAUGAAGCCUUAUCAUAAUUGCAUAACUAGUUUAUGUAUUGUUGACUCAUGAAGUGGUGAGUUUGUAUAGAAUUUCAGAUGGCUGGUUCAUUAAUGUGCAGGAAAUUUUCCCUCUGUCUAGCAUUAGAGAUAUUGUUCAUAGAUUCUUAAUCAUUAUAACAUAAUGUGCUUCAUAGUCAAUUCUGUUACUCUGAAUGUUUUUUUCUUACCUCACAAAUUAUGUAUCUAUUACAUUCUGUAAUGGCAGUGGUUAUGCAAUGACAAGUCCUCCCAUGAGCCAAGACUAAAAUUGAAGGCUUUUUUUGGAUGAUUAUACAGAUGUCUGGCAAGGGGAGCCAGAGCAGUGUUUCAAGCAUAUCCAGAAAAUACAGCGCAGCGUGUGUUGAUUUUGAAGUCUGCAAUGCAGGCUGGAUUUGCUAGAAAAGCCAGAGAAAAAAAAUUGUUCCUUAGUGUCACUAUUUACUACAUCUUGUGGGCCAAAAAUGAAGCAAUUUUUAAAUUUGUGUGGUAGUCAAUCAAUUCAGAUAUUAUUGUUUAGACUAAUGCAUUCAUUUAUAAAUUGAUUUAUUUGAUUAA